RNAcentral lists this ribosomal RNA (383 nucleotides) under uncultured Chytridiales. RNAcentral describes it as "SSU rRNA". It matches the Rfam family "Eukaryotic small subunit ribosomal RNA", at positions 585 to 972 of the family's 1831-position model. The record is from RNAcentral. Lineage: Eukaryota; Fungi; Chytridiomycota; Chytridiomycetes; Chytridiales.
CCAGCUCCAAUAGCGUAUAUUAAAGUUGUUGCAGUUAAAAAGCUCGUAGUUGAAUUUUGGGCCUGGCUGGGUGGUCUUGCCGCAAGGUAAGCACUGCUCCGGUUGGGUCUUUCUUUCUGGGGAAUCGGUGUGCUCUUAAUUGGGUGCGCCGGGGAUCCAGAACUUUUACUUUGAAAAAAUUAGAGUGUUUAAAGCAGGCUUACGCUUGAAUACAUUAGCAUGGAAUAAUAGAAUAGGACUUUGGUUCUAUUUUGUUGGUUUCUAGGACCGAAGUAAUGAUUAAUAGGGAUAGUUGGGGGCAUUAGUAUUUAAUUGUCAGAGGUGAAAUUCUUGGAUUUAUGAAAGACUAACUUCUGCGAAAGCAUUUGCCAAGGAUGUUUUCA